AAGUCGUAACAAGGUUUCCGUAGGUGAACCUGCGGAAGGAUCAUUAUCGUGUAUCCACGUAUAAACAAACUGUGAACCACUGCCUUCGGAAAUCGGUUGGACGGAUUAACUCCAUUGUGUGGUUUUGGAGUCCCGUCUGCUGUGGUGCGCUGAUUAUUCAGUUCCCCACGACAUGGCUUAUUUCUGAAGUGUAUUUUAAAUCACACCAUUUCUAACCUUUUAUUAACCACUUGAACCACAUGAAUGAUUUUAAAACUGACUUGUUUCUUACUCGAAACCAAUUGGUUUCGAGAAGAAAUC
The sequence is an unclassified non-coding RNA, 300 nucleotides long. The stretch from base 1 to 46 matches the Rfam family "Eukaryotic small subunit ribosomal RNA", at positions 1786 to 1831 of the family's 1831-position model.